CCCAACUCUCUGUUACAUAAACGAUAUAAACCUUAAUCAAAUUUAAGACUCUAUCUCCCCUUGAAACGAUCAAAAUCAAAAAAAUCAAAUUGCCUUAAGGUCAAAGCGAUUAAAACACCACAACACAACAAAAAUAUUCAACCACACGUCUACCGUUCUUUUUCUACGUACACUAUCAGAACAAUCAAUACAAUCAUCAGUGUGAUGGAGUUUUUGGCUUUGCAACUUGAUACCCAAACCAUCAACCCACUAUACCACCCUAAUAACACUCAUUGUGAUGUCAGAACAUCACAGAACUCCUUCAUUUCCUUUAAUUUUUUUUUAUGAAAAAAGAGCAACGCACUUGUCAGAGGGGAAGUCGUCAAAUAACUAUUCUUUUGCGGCAACUUGAGGACGACGAGGAAAAACGACCGACACGACGCACGUUCGUCAUACCAGUGAGCUCAAAACAGAAGCUGAAGCUGCUAAACCUUUUCACGAAAAAACAAGUCGAAAUAUAAUUCGAUUAGGAACAACGACGUCGUCGUAUCAUCCAGAUUUAAAGAUCCAGCCAGGCGAUGGUGUAUCCUGGUGGUGGUUACAGAUUAAAUUGAACAAGAUUGUGACUGGCGAUAGUAAUCUGAAUCUCAAUGCAAGUUUUUCGGGCCACAAACAUCACGGAGGAGUUCGAAUCUGUACGGUGCGGUGAUGGAAAAUGAGGACAAUCGCAUGUGACAUCACGAGAAGAGGGUGGAUUUUUAUAUGUUUUAAGGGACGCUCGUCCUUUAUAAACGAAUAGAACAAUGAUUUGGGGUGGUCCUGAGCAAGUUUUACCGUCCGUGAUGGUGCAUGCGUCAAUCAAACCAAAGCAAAGGAAGAACUUAAUGACAAGAUUUUGCAUUGUUUUGUUUGAUCCAUCCAUCUCCCAGGAUCUCUGGCAGGACAAUGGGGGAAACUCUUGGUUUUAUUUCGCAUACAGAGAUACCGCUACUGCUGCCGCCGCCGAGUUGUAUAUGAUGACGAAAUGGAUUUUCAUUCAAAUUCAAAUGGGUGGAAAUUUAUCGUUUAUACUCUUUUUGAAUUAAAUAAAGGACACAAUCAGGAAUAAAAAAAAUUAUUAAAACCAUACAACCAACUUUUCUGUCAUUUUUUGAAUUGGUCGGUCCUCUUCGGUUGGUCCUUUUUUUUUCUCUUCAAUAUGAUGACAGCAACAGCUCCACAUAGAGAAAGAAUAGAGAGUCCUUUUCUGCCUGUAAGUGACUACACAGUGACAAGGAUGACAAUUUUGUCUUGUUCAUUGUUCCGAAUCGCAGCCAGAUAAUCCGAUUUUGAAUUAUUUAAUUAUUUUUAUUCAUACCGCAGAUUGAAAUCCUUUUGAAGAUGCAAUGGAUAAGAGACAGUUUUUUUCCAUCGUCCUGAAUUGAGGGCAGUUUUUUUUCUACUCCAAUUUUCUAAUUGUGGGAAUCAAAAAGAAGAAAGUGGUUGCAAGUGAACAUACGCCUCGAACAUAAAAUUGCAAUAAAAUUUACAUCGGUAUAUUUUUUGCAUAACAUUGGAAGGAUAUUAAUGGCAGGAUGAAAUUUGCCAUAUCGCAAUUAAGGACUAGUUCUCACAAUCAAAACUGUCAAAACAAAUCAAAAUAAAGUGUUUCGACAAGCGCCAGUGUGAGGUUAGUUCGGUGUGUGGUGUUCUUUUGGAACAACCCUUAAAUUGGUUGGGCGUUUUUGGUGUUUUGUAAUUGUGUGAUUGAAUCAUUGCUUCGGGCAAUAAAAUCUAAUUGAUUUGUCAUGCUACAAGCAACGAAGGAUGUUUUCGUUGUUAUACAGUUUAGUGUAUUACAUAAUUCAUAAUUGCUGGGAAUUUUUGUAUUCAAUUAUAAAUGCAAUGGAAAAGUU
Long non-coding RNA from Episyrphus balteatus (marmalade hoverfly), 1874 nucleotides. RefSeq lists it as uncharacterized. The record is from RefSeq and is a predicted model, not a curated record. Lineage: Eukaryota; Metazoa; Arthropoda; Insecta; Diptera; Syrphidae. The transcript is spliced from 3 exons.